This is a long non-coding RNA of Acinonyx jubatus (cheetah), 2369 nucleotides long. RefSeq lists it as uncharacterized. Lineage: Eukaryota; Metazoa; Chordata; Mammalia; Carnivora; Felidae. The transcript is spliced from 4 exons. The record is from RefSeq and is a predicted model, not a curated record.
CCCCACCUCCCCGCGCGACCGUGAAAAAGCCCCUUUCAACCUUGAACCUGCUCCACCUCUGUAAACUGAAGACGUGGCUUGUAAGAACGAAUGAAGGGAUUCAUUUGUGCCCUUGACCUAAGGACCUUCUGGGCUGUCUUAUCCCCAUUCUACAGAAGCUGUGGCUUCAGGGGACAGAGCAACUUGCACCUGGCUGCACACCUGGCAAGUGGCGAGCUGGGUUCGAAUCCAGAUUUCCCUGGCUCCUGACUCCCAGCUCUUACCGCUUAACUUAUCCUGCCUCCGCGGGCCGCCGAGAGGGAUUGCACAGGAGUGGUGGCCGCGAAAGAGCUUUGGAAAGGGGCACGAGGCCGCGUUCCCGAGUCCCGUCUGCGUGCCCGGCGCGCACCCCUCAGGGAGGUGCUUUCCCCUGGAGAUGGGCCGUGUGACCUUCGCGCCCCCUUGGGACAGGCGAGGAGCGGGAGGCGCCCUGCGUCUCCGCCCUGCCCCCUCCCCGAGAAUAGUCUAGAUGAGUCGGCCGCGGCUUGCUCCCCGCCAGCGGCGCCCGCGGCCCCGCCGCCCCCAGCGGGCCCGAGGAGGGCGCGCGGCUGCGGGGGGCCGGGGCGCACGCUGCACUCCUCAAACCAGGCCCUUCAGCAAGCGCGCAGCUCUUGUUUGCGUGCACAGGCCUUUGUUCGCGCACCGGGACGGAGACCUCUUUUCCUCGGUCGCUUGGGUCGCGUCUUGAAACACACACGCGCCAGGAACAGAAACGCCGCGCUGCGGCAACACGCGCUCAGAGCGCGUCUCUGUGCCCGCCUGGCGGGCGGCGGGCGGCGGGGCUGGUCCCUGCGGCCCUUCGCUCCCAGGCGCUACACCCCUGCCUCAGUUUCCCCAUCUGCACCGGGAGGUGGCGUGCAUCAGGGCCCAGCCGCCGGCUGGAAUUCGGUCUUUGCGAGAGCGCCGCGCGCGGGAGGCGGCGGGGAGCGGGGCAGACAGGGCUGCCUGUGGGUCGUCUGUGUUUCCAAGACCGUAAACAAGUAAAGGAGAAAACAGACAAGAUCAUUUGAAAUAACACCAAGUGGUAACAUAAUAGGAGCACAGAUGGGAAAAUGGAGGCUGAAUCGCCUGUUGGAGGGAAAUGAGAAGUUGAAGGAGUUGAACGAUUUCCCCAUUUCCUCGAGCGUCCAGUACGUGGUGGAGACCAGAUUCGGACUGCAGACAUACUCUGGGUUCCCAGGAUUCCUGAAAUCCAAAGGUUCCAAGCUGGCUUUCAGGGCCUGUGCAAGCCGCUUGCUGUAACCCAAUGAGAAAGGAUCAUAUAUGAGGAAAGAGAAGCCCCGAGAGGUUAAGUGGCUUGCCCCAGGCCACACAGUGAGUAGGUGCAAGGUGGAGGUUCAAAUCCUCGUCCGUCAGAUUCCAGGGAGGUGCUGAGGCACCCACACAUGUGCAGCCCGGGACCAUUUAUUGGAAAUUACCCUGGAGCACGGACAAGGCCCAUGCUUGGAAUGUAAGUGCCUGAAGAGGUGAACAUAAGCCGUGAGCCUGCAGAUGCCCCCUCCUUCCUGCGAUCCUUUGGCUGGGGUAGCGGGCAUAUUUCAUUAAACUAAGCUGGCACCAGAAAUUCGUGUCAUUCCACUUUCUUUAUACCCUGAAUGAACUGCGGACCAUGAGUAUGAGUAGGAGACUGUAGAACUGGCUACAUUGCUAAGCAGUGGUCAGGAUACAGGCCCAGUGACUUCCUGGCCUCUGUGGGCCCAGUGCAAGGAGGCGCCUUCCAGCUCUAAUCCCAGUUUCUUCUCGCCUUAAUUUUACCCAGUUCCAGAACAUCCAGUGGCUCCCAAAUUCCCUUCAGUUUUGCCCUGCAGGGCGUGGGGAGGAUAGAGGAAGGGAAAGGGACAAACCUGGGUUCAAAUCCUGAUUCCCUUUUGGUGAGUCUCAGUCUUUGCAUCCGUUAAAUGGGAGGAAUAAUCCCUGCUCUGCUGAUUUACCCAGGCGUUAAGGACCACACAGAACAAGGGAUAGGAAUGGCCUUUGCAGAUCAGAGCUGGUGACCUGUGCAGAACGUACUUCAGCAGAUUGCAUUGUCUCUUUGGAGGGCAGGGAGAACUGGGGUGGGGCUGGGGGCAGUUUCAGGCAGAGUGCUGCCCCUUCUGGGGGGGCUCCUACCCGCAGCCUCACGGAAGAAGUGGGCCACAGUGGGCAGUUACACAUAGAUGCGCCCGUCAGGAGACAUGAUGAUUCAGAGCAAUGGUUCUGAGUCAAGGGCCAGUCAAACCUGGGUUAUAAACCCGGCUCUACCCCUCACUAGCUGAGGGACCCUUGGACAACUCACAUAACUCCUUUGUACCUCCAUUUUCACGUCCGUCAGGUGGGAUUAAAAACACAGC